Molecule: ribosomal RNA, 253 nt
Filed under: uncultured bacterium
Lineage: Bacteria
Description: partial 16S ribosomal RNA
Rfam family: Bacterial small subunit ribosomal RNA
Source: RNAcentral
UACGUAGGGUGCGCGCGUUGUCCGGAAUUAUUGGGCGUAAAGGGCUCGUAGGCGGUCUGUCGCGUCGGGAGUGAAAACUCAGGGCUUAACCCUGAGCCUGCUUUCGAUACGGGCAGACUGGAGGUAUGCAGGGGAGAACGGAAUUCCUGGUGUAGCGGUGAAAUGCGCAGAUAUCAGGAGGAACACCGGUGGCGAAGGCGGUUCUCUGGGCAUGUCCUGACGCUGAGGAGCGAAAGUGUGGGGAGCGAACAGG